This 253-nucleotide ribosomal RNA is filed under the name uncultured bacterium. RNAcentral's name for it is "partial 16S ribosomal RNA". It matches the Rfam family "Bacterial small subunit ribosomal RNA", at positions 524 to 776 of the family's 1533-position model. The record is from RNAcentral.
UACGAGAGGCGCAAACGUUAUUCGGAUUUACUGGGCUUAAAGAGUUCGUAGGCGGCGCAGAAAGUAGGGUGUGAAAGCCCUCGGCUCAACCGAGGAAUUGCGCUCUAAACUACUGUGCUUGAGGGACCUAGAGGUGAGCGGAACUGAUGGUGGAGCGGUGAAAUGCGUUGAUAUCAUCAGGAACACCGGAGGCGAAGGCGGCUCACUGGGGGUCUUCUGACGCUGAGGAACGAAAGCCAGGGGAGCGAACGGG